This 417-nucleotide ribosomal RNA is filed under the name uncultured Alcaligenaceae bacterium. RNAcentral's name for it is "bacterial SSU rRNA". It matches the Rfam family "Bacterial small subunit ribosomal RNA", at positions 30 to 443 of the family's 1533-position model. The record is from RNAcentral. Lineage: Bacteria; Pseudomonadati; Pseudomonadota; Betaproteobacteria; Burkholderiales; Alcaligenaceae.
AUUGACCGCUAGCAGGAUGCCUUCGUAAUGCAAGUCGAACGUGCAUGCACGUACAUCGGUCUGAGUGCGAGUGCGAACGGGUGAGUAAUAAAUCGGAACGUGGUCAGUAGCGGGUGAUAACUAGCUCGAAAGAGUAGCUAAUACUCGCAUACGUGCUACGGGGGAAAGGGGGGGAUCGCAAGACCUCUCACUAUUGGAGCGCCCGAUAUCGGAUUAGCUAGUUGGUGGGGUAAAGGUACCACAAGGCGACGAUCCGUAGCUGGUUUGAAAGCACGACCAGCCACACUGGGUCUGAGACUCGGCACAGACUCCUACGGUAGGCAGCAGUGGGGAAUUUUGGACAAUGCAGGAAUCCCUGAUCCAGCCAUACCGACGUGUGCGAUGAAGCACUUCGGGUUGUUGCGCACUUUUGGCAGG